Molecule: non-coding RNA, 35 nt
Filed under: unclassified sequences
Description: DUF805b RNA
Rfam family: DUF805b RNA
About the family: Bacteroidetes, Chlorobi (1 example), Proteobacteria. Lineage (Flavobacteria)
Source: RNAcentral
AAAGGGAAAGCUGAAAACCUUGAACAGAGUAGGCA